UCAAACAGGGCAAACAGGAACAACAUGGACAGGCCAAAGUGCAAUAGAAGUGAAAUGGCAUGGAGACCUCUCAUAAGCACAAGAGUCUUUGCUAGUGGACCAGUGAAGCUGACUGGUGGAAUGCACUGAAGAGAGUAGGAGCUGUGAAACCAACAGUGGCAAAUCAAGACAACUGGGAGAAUUUUCAGAUCUUCAAGGCAAGGCCAGAUGACAUCCUUAUUAUCACUUAUCCUAAAGCAGGCACCACCUGGGUGUCCUACAUUUUGGAUCUGCUUUACUUUGGCAAUACGGCACCAGAGCGUCAGACCUCUCUGCCCAUCUACAUGCGAGUACCGUUCCUCGAGACAGCCUUCCCUGUGACCCCUGCAGGUGGGUCAGUGUGGUGUGGAGUAAGUGUGCAAUUGCAUCAU
This is an RNA transcript of Electrophorus electricus (electric eel), 410 nucleotides long. It is a transcript of the gene named cytosolic sulfotransferase 3-like, with no coding region annotated. Lineage: Eukaryota; Metazoa; Chordata; Actinopteri; Gymnotiformes; Gymnotidae. The record is from RefSeq and is a predicted model, not a curated record.